This 29-nucleotide non-coding RNA is filed under the name Mus musculus (house mouse). The record is from RNAcentral. Lineage: Eukaryota; Metazoa; Chordata; Mammalia; Rodentia; Muridae.
UGCGGCCUGCAUUCUUUUCUAAGUACCUC